This 49-nucleotide small nucleolar RNA is filed under the name Pyrococcus horikoshii OT3. RNAcentral's name for it is "PHOsR54". Lineage: Archaea; Methanobacteriati; Methanobacteriota; Thermococci; Thermococcales; Thermococcaceae. The record is from RNAcentral.
AUGAUGAAGUUCGCUAGAACUGAGAGGUGAUGACGCCCAGGGUAUCUGA